GGUUAUUGAGGGUAGAAACGCUGAGCCUUCUUUUAUAAACGCAUGGUCGGCUCAGCACUAGGCCAGCGGGCCGUCGAGGCAUCUACCGUACCCAACUUUAGGGUAUAAAAAGAUGUGGGAUACGCCGCCCCACCAAUAAUC
The submitters of this non-coding RNA (141 nucleotides) gave its source as unclassified sequences. The record is from Rfam.